GGCACUGAUUGCCAGGAAAGCAACUUCCAAUAUAGAAUGUGGAAUUUCCGCCAUAUUUCUUUCUGUGCCAUCAUUGUUACCAACAUUUUUGAAUAAUUGAUCAUGGGAAUCAUAUUUAUGCCCUUGCCACUUGGUGUUAUUAAUACUGGUAACAAAGAAAUAUCAAUUGAAUCAGUAAGUAGGCUGCUUAACACACAACUUUCCAAGAUGGCGGCUUUAUCAUUUGGAUAUUUAAUGUUUAUGACCUCAUUUGUAGUAUUUGUGUUGUAAUCAUUUUAAAGUCAUCAGUAUAAUGACAAUAAUCAUAUUUGUAGUUAAGUUUUAGAUUAAACAUCAAUUUAAAGCAA
Dalotia coriaria is the source of this 347-nucleotide long non-coding RNA. RefSeq lists it as uncharacterized. Lineage: Eukaryota; Metazoa; Arthropoda; Insecta; Coleoptera; Staphylinidae. The transcript is spliced from 2 exons. The record is from RefSeq and is a predicted model, not a curated record.